RNAcentral lists this ribosomal RNA (541 nucleotides) under uncultured bacterium. RNAcentral's name for it is "bacterial SSU rRNA". It matches the Rfam family "Bacterial small subunit ribosomal RNA", at positions 1 to 526 of the family's 1533-position model. The record is from RNAcentral.
AUUAGAGUUUGAUCCUGGCUCAGAGUGAACGCUGGCGGCAGGCCUAACACAUGCAAGUCGAGCGGCAGCGCGUCCGACCACCCUCGGGUGGUCGGAUGGCGGCGAGCGGCGGACGGGUGAGGAAUGCAUCGGAAUCUGCCUCGUUGUGGGGGAUAACGUAGGGAAACUUACGCUAAUACCGCAUACGACCUACGGGUGAAAGUGGGGGACCUUCGGGCCUCACGCGAUGAGAUGAGCCGAUGCCGGAUUAGCUAGUUGGCGGGGUAAAGGCCCACCAAGGCGACGAUCCGUAGCUGGUCUGAGAGGAUGAUCAGCCACACUGGAACUGAGACACGGUCCAGACUCCUACGGGAGGCAGCAGUGGGGAAUAUUGGACAAUGGGGGCAACCCUGAUCCAGCCAUGCCGCGUGUGUGAAGAAGGCCUUCGGGUUGUAAAGCACUUUUGUUGGGGAAGAAACCGGCCGGGUUAAUACCCUGGUUGAAUGACGGUACCCAAAGAAUAAGCACCGGCUAACUUCGUGCCAGCAGCCGCGGUAAUAAU